UGGGGGUGGGGGAAUACAUUAUUAUUUGAAAUGAACUUGGUUCUAUCAUAUAAAGACUUGGCUGAUCUGUGAAAACAAGUUAGUAGAGUGACAGCACCAAAUCAAACAAUGCAGACUGUGCUGUUUGUGUUGAUCUUUAUGACGACUGUUACGUGGUCCAUUUCCAUGUCCAUGCCCAACUUUUGUCCUGUAUGCGAUACUUCAAAAUGUGAGCCAAUAGAAUCAUGUUCCACGGAAAAGUUGCUUGACCAAUGUGGAUGCUGCACCGUUUGUGCCAAG
This 279-nucleotide unclassified non-coding RNA is filed under the name Limulus polyphemus (Atlantic horseshoe crab). Its description in RNAcentral is "venom protein 59.1-like, transcript variant X2". Lineage: Eukaryota; Metazoa; Arthropoda; Merostomata; Xiphosura; Limulidae. The record is from RNAcentral.